Molecule: long non-coding RNA, 944 nt
Organism: Alosa sapidissima (American shad)
Lineage: Eukaryota; Metazoa; Chordata; Actinopteri; Clupeiformes; Clupeidae
Exons: 4
Source: RefSeq, a predicted model, not a curated record
AGCAUCACGUAUAGCACGUUUUGCGUCUUGCGUCAUAGUGGCUUACUGGCGCGCGUUCUUUCGGUCGGUGCAGAGUGAAAUGGAUGGAAAUUCGUGGAACAACACCACCAGAGACUGAUACCCAUCAUCGUAUUUUUACAAGGAAAUGCUUUUCUAGUUGAUCUCUACAGUGCCAAGUGUGGUGGAGCUGAAGAAGCUGUUGACAACACUGGAUAGUGAUUGUUUCAACCAAUGGAAAAGGACCAUCGGUCUGAUGGGGCUCCCCGACUACCUCAAAGAUGUUGCGUCCAACUUUUACAAGAAAGUUCAGGCCACAGUUGCUAAGGAGGACAUGACUAGAGGAAUGACUGUGGGCAUCCUCGUGGUGGCAGACGGGAAUGAUACUGUUGGUUUCGCUGUGGUCAUUGAGGAAGAAAUCAUCCUUCCGUCGCUCAGUGAUUUUCCAACGGCUGUGGCACUUCUGAUGGGUCUGCUCUAUGCACUGAACAUUGACUACCCCAAAGACACAAGGUACACAUUUGAAGUCAUUCAGAAGGUGCUCAUGGACAUUGGUGGAGGCCAUUGCACUGCGUUGGUUCAUGGCUUGAGAAACAGACUCUUGAGGAAAACCAUGUAAGCUUAAAGCAGAGUUUAAGCUUUGCCCAAAUGUGAACAAAAUGUGAACUUGAUUGAGAAAUGGACUCUUUGUUAUUUUUGUUAGACGUCUUAUAGAUUGUGUACUGUUUGGGGGACACAAUAACACACACGGUAUGGAUUUAUUUGGGGGACACAGUAACACACACGGUGUGGAUUUAUUUGGGGGGGACAGUAACACACUCGGUGUGUUUAUUUUGGGGACACGGUAACACACUCGUGUGUAUUCAUUUUGAAGGACAGUAAAACACACAGUAUGGAUUUAUUUGGGGGACACAGUAACACACUCGGUGUGUUUAUUUUGGGGACAG